UUGAAAAUCAUCCAAAUGGGGUAUUCUUACAGCCUAAAAACAAUAAGCCAUUCAGGGUGGAAGACUACCCAAUGUUUAUACCCUUCUUGGACCUUAAAAAAUUAGCAUCGCAUCGUUAUGGAUAUGUAAUUUCACGAAUUAAAGUAUAUGCUGUGGGGGCACCUCUGAAGACAAGGGACAAGAACAAGGAAAUUGAACCACCAUACCUUAACAUCUCGGGCCAAAAGACAAGGUAUAAAUCUUUCACUCUGAAAAUUAAACUUUUCUAUAUGUAAUUUGUAAUUUAUUUUCUUGGUUUUCAGCUAUGAAUGUGCUAUCUACGUAAUGAAGUGGCUUGAGAUAUUUCAGCCCGCAAACAUUAAAAGGCGGAAGUAUGAGUGGGACAAUUAGACCCAGGACGAGGUGGACCACUUUAGAGUAGAAUAUGCUUCCCGGAUUCUAUUCCAUGAAAUGAAUCAAGACAAAGCUGAAGCCAUUAGGGGAAGUAAUGCAAUAAGACUAUCCAAGCCAUCCUCAUUGUUAUUGAGUCCAUAUUGUCAGAUAGAUUCUAAGGAUA
Arachis ipaensis is the source of this 556-nucleotide non-coding RNA. Lineage: Eukaryota; Viridiplantae; Streptophyta; Magnoliopsida; Fabales; Fabaceae. The record is from RefSeq and is a predicted model, not a curated record.